ACUCGACUUCAACUAUGGUACAUCAUUAUGUCUAGACUGUCAGAAGGACUACACGGAGGUGAACACGAUAUUCGCGACCAGGAUCCAGUUUUACGCCACUGAGAUUGCGAGAAACAGAGAAGGAUAUAAUGACUUUGUCCACAAAGCCAGUUCAAAAGCCAAACAACAGAAAAAAGAUGAGUUAAUCAUAACAGCUUAAUAUUUCUUGGUGUAGAUGAGAUCUUUCUACACAAAGUAGAGAAACAGUUAAAUAUGUCCUACUUAUUUUUUUCCCCCAUAUGUAAAAGUUGCUUUUCUCAUUUGUCUGCAAAAGUUGGAUGGUUAUUCAGUUAUGAUUUUCCUGCAAUGUCUGGCACCUUUUGUUUGUAAUAAAUAACUACAUAUUUUCCCCUGAAAAA
Molecule: long non-coding RNA, 398 nt
Organism: Sinocyclocheilus grahami
Lineage: Eukaryota; Metazoa; Chordata; Actinopteri; Cypriniformes; Cyprinidae
Exons: 2
Source: RefSeq, a predicted model, not a curated record